Lynx canadensis (Canada lynx) is the source of this 111-nucleotide long non-coding RNA. RefSeq lists it as uncharacterized. The transcript has 3 exons. NCBI's taxonomy places the organism in Eukaryota, Metazoa, Chordata, Mammalia, Carnivora, Felidae. The record is from RefSeq and is a predicted model, not a curated record.
UCCUGAUGAGCAUAGAUGACAAAAGUCCUCAACAAAAUCUCAGCAAACCAAAUUCACAAGUACUUUAAAGUGAUCACACACCAUGAUCAAAUGGGAUUUAUACCUGGGAUG